RNAcentral lists this ribosomal RNA (484 nucleotides) under uncultured bacterium. Its description in RNAcentral is "partial 16S ribosomal RNA". It matches the Rfam family "Bacterial small subunit ribosomal RNA", at positions 30 to 507 of the family's 1533-position model. The record is from RNAcentral.
AUUGAACGCUGGCGGCAGGCCUAACACAUGCAAGUCGAGCGGAUGAAGGGAGCUUGCUCCUGGAUUCAGCGGCGGACGGGUGAGUAAUGCCUAGGAAUCUGCCUGGUAGUGGGGGAUAACGUCCGGAAACGGGCGCUAAUACCGCAUACGUCCUGAGGGAGAAAGUGGGGGAUCUUCGGACCUCACGCUAUCAGAUGAGCCUAGGUCGGAUUAGCUAGUUGGUGGGGUAAAGGCCUACCAAGGCGACGAUCCGUAACUGGUCUGAGAGGAUGAUCAGUCACACUGGAAUGGAGACACGGUCCUGACUCAUACGGGAGGAAGCAGUGGGGAAUAUUGGACAAUGGGCGAAAGCCUGAUCCAGCCAUGCCGCGUGUGUGAAGAAGGUCUUCGGAUUGUAAAGCACUUUAAGUUGGGAGGAAGGGCAGUAAGUUAAUACCUUGCUGUUUUGACGUUACCAACAGAAUAAGCACCGGCUAACUUCGUG